GUCCGUAACCGCGAGGGUCGGCCUAGGGUAAUACAGGUGAUUGGGGCUAAGUCGUAACAAGGUAGCCGUACCGGAAGGUGCGGCUGGAACACCUCCUUUCUGGAGUUC
RNAcentral lists this ribosomal RNA (108 nucleotides) under Porphyromonadaceae bacterium. Its description in RNAcentral is "partial 16S ribosomal RNA". It matches the Rfam family "Bacterial small subunit ribosomal RNA", at positions 1426 to 1533 of the family's 1533-position model. The record is from RNAcentral. Lineage: Bacteria; Pseudomonadati; Bacteroidota; Bacteroidia; Bacteroidales; Porphyromonadaceae.